RNAcentral lists this ribosomal RNA (2044 nucleotides) under human gut metagenome. RNAcentral describes it as "bacterial LSU rRNA". It matches the Rfam family "Bacterial large subunit ribosomal RNA", at positions 388 to 2448 of the family's 2925-position model. The record is from RNAcentral.
UUACGAAGCCUAGUGGUAUCCUGAGUAGCGCGGGGCACGAGAAAUCUUGCGUGAAUUAGCGGGGCCCAUCCCGUAAGGCUAAAUACUCCCGAGAGACCGAUAGCGAACCAGUACCGUGAGGGAAAGGUGAAAAGAACCCCGAGCAGGGGAGUGAAAUAGACCCUGAACCCGUCUGCCUACAAGCGGUCGGAGCGUCGUAAUGACGUGACGGCGUGCCUUUUGCAUAAUGAACCUACGAGUUACCUUCCCCGGCAAGGUUAAGUACCUAAGGUACGGAGCCGAAGCGAAAGCGAGUCUGAACAGGGCGCCAAGUCGGGGGGGGUAGACGCGAAACCGAGUGAUCUACCCUUGGCCAGGUUGAAGGUUGGGUAACACCAACUGGAGGACCGGAUGGGUAAGCGUUGAAAAGCUUUCCAAUGAGCUGAGGGUAGGGGUGAAAGGCUAAUCAAACUCGGAGAUAGCUCGUACUCCCCGAAAUGCAUUUAGGUGCAGCCUCUUUAUAGUAUAUCGUGAGGUAGAGCGACUGAUUGGAUGCGAGGGCUUCACCGCCUAUCAAGUCCAGAUAAACUCCGAAUGCGCGAUAUAUAUUUACAGGGAGUGAGGGCGCGGGUGCUAAGGUCCGUGUCCGAGAGGAGAAGAAUCCAGACCACCGGCUAAGGCCCCCAAAUGAUCGUUAAGUUGAACUAACGAGGUCGGAUCGCAGAGACAGCUAGGAUGUUGGCUUGGAAGCAGCCAUUCAUUUAAAGAGUGCGUAACAGCUCACUAGUCGAGCGAUCUGGCGUGGAUAAUAAUCGGGCAUAAACGAUCUGCCGAAGCCGUGGAUGUCGCAAGACAUGGUAGGGGAGCAUUCCAUGCCGCGUCGAAGAUGAGGGGUGACCCUUGUUGGAGCGCAUGGAAAAGCAAAUGUAGGUAUGAGUAACGAUAAGGGGGGCGAGAAACCCCCCCGCCGAAAGACCAAGGUUUCCUGAUCAACGCUAAUCGGAUCAGGGUGAGUCGGGACCUAAGGCAAAGCCGAACGGCGCCGCCGAUGGAAGAAUGGGUUAAUAUUCCCAUACUGCCUCAUGGAGUGACGUGGAGACGGAGAAGUGACAGUCCUGCCGGCUGACGGAAUAGCCGGUUGAAGGGUGUAGAUAUUGAUUCCCGUAGGCAAAUCCGCGGGGAGAGUCGAACCUGAGAGUAUACGGAGCGCUUGCGCAACGUAAUAUGGACGUAACCAUGCUCCCGAGAAAAUCCGCUAAACUUAUCCAUGCGGCACCCGUACCGUAAACGGACACACGUGGUCGGGUUGAGAAUACUGAGGCGCUCGAGUGAUUCACGGUUAAGGAACUAGGCAAAUUGACCCUGUAACUUCGGGAUAAAGGGUCCUCGUCGUAAGGCGAGGCGCAGAGAAUAGGUCCAGGCAACUGUUUAACAAAAACACAUGGCUGUGCUAAAUGGAAACAUGAUGUAUACAGCCUGACACCUGCCCGGUGCCGGAAGGUUAAGAGGAGAUGUCAUCCGCGAGGAGAAGCGUUGAAUUGAAGCCCCGGUAAACGGCGGCCGUAACUAUAACGGUCCUAAGGUAGCGAAAUUCCUUGUCGGGUAAGUUCCGACCUGCACGAAUGGUGUAAUGAUCUGGACACUGUCUCAACCGUGAGCUCGGUGAAAUUGUAGUAUCGGUGAAGAUGCCGAUUACCCGCGAUGGGACGAAAAGACCCCGUGAACCUUUACUAUAGCUUUACAUUGAGUUUGGGCAGACGAUGUGUAGGAUAGGCCGGAGGCAUUGAAGCAGGUACGCCAGUAUUUGUGGAGCCGACGUUGAAAUACGGCCCUUCGGUUGUUUGAGUUCUAACUCCUAGUUAGGAGGACACUGUAUGGUGGGUAGUUUGACUGGGGUGGUCGCCUCCAAAAGCGUAACGGAGGCUUCUAAAGGUGCCCUCAGACCGAUUGGUAACCGGUCGCAGAGUGUAAUGGCAUAAGGGCGCUUGACUGGGAGACAUACAAGUCGAUCAGGUAGGAAACUAGAGCAUAGUGAUCCGGUGGUUCCGCAUGGAAGGGCCAUCGC